AAGCAAUAGAUGGUUGGCAGAGAAGCUGAAACGACUCGACCUCUACCAGGGUAAUGAAAGCAAGUCGGGCCACUAUUCUGACUGAUCACUUGGCAGUGGGGUGGAGGGGUAUGGAGAUGGGAGAAUCCCUGGAUGAAGAUCGGAAGGAGCGUGGAGAUGUCCCGCCACUGGUGACGCGGGGGGAUUUCGGAGCAUAGUCCCCGCACUCUUUCACGACCCCCGACCCCUGAUCCCCGGAUUAGGACGGCAAGGGAGUGCGGCGAUCAAGGCUGGGAGACCGCGGAGAGAAGGCGCGCGGUACCUGCUUGUCCAGCGCGUCUCGGACGCCUCCCUGCCCGGCGCCGGCCCUGGGUGGCGCGGGCGUUCGUUCGCAGCUGCAGCCCUCCAGGAGGUACAUGCCCGCCGGGCGGCAGCUCUGCUCGCCCUCGAAGUAGAAGAGCACAUUCUGGUAGAGGGCGAACCACUUCUCGUGCCAGCGGCUCGCCUCGGCCGUCUUCUUACUCAGGAAGCCGCGCUUGGUGCCCUCCUUGCGCGCCAGAAAGGCCAGGCUCAGCUUUCUCAUCACUGAACUGGAGAUACAGGAGUUGGAGACUUGGAAUCCCCUUUGGUGCAGAAACUAUUCCUUCAUGAGAAGAAGUCCUUAAAUAGGCUCUUUAGACAGGAGGCCACAUGUUGAAGGCAGCAGGGUCACAAGAUGGAAGAACCAGGGUCCCAGUAUCAUCGCUCCCUGCUUCAAGCUGCCAGGGGCAGCCUAACCCACAUGGCAUUAUGACAUAAGAAACAAAGUAACUAUUGUUUUAUUAAAUCAAUGAGAUAUUGGGCUUCUUGUUAUAGCAACUAGUAUAAAUUGCCCUGACUGAUACAUUAUGGAUUUAGAGUGCACUGUACUACAACUGUUUGUUGUAUUUUCAAAAUUGUGGUAUAACUGACUUACAAUAAACUUCAUAUAUUUA
RNAcentral lists this long non-coding RNA (953 nucleotides) under Homo sapiens (human). RNAcentral's name for it is "HSALNT0327627". Lineage: Eukaryota; Metazoa; Chordata; Mammalia; Primates; Hominidae. The record is from RNAcentral.